This 1658-nucleotide long non-coding RNA is filed under the name Betta splendens (Siamese fighting fish). RNAcentral's name for it is "lncRNA (ENSBSLG00000024901.1)". The record is from RNAcentral. Lineage: Eukaryota; Metazoa; Chordata; Actinopteri; Anabantiformes; Osphronemidae.
GGUUCUGAGCCAAGGGAGCAGCUUUUUCCUUAAUGAAGACAAGACUGACGACAGGAAGACCAACAAACCGCUGACUGGACGAUGGGGUCGGUCUUAUUCUGAAGGGUUUACUUCCUGUUUCUCCAUCCCUCACUCGACCAUAGUGACUUGAAUGCCAAUUGUUUUUUUCUGUUCUUUCUAAGGUUUGGGGGAAAUGGGCAGUGAGAGAGGUAGUUAUAGGAUGCAGGAUAGUAAUUUCAGUGCCAUAGGAUGAUUAAUUAUGAUUUCUAUUAACAAACUGAAUAACCUCUAGAGAUGUCAGACGUAAAGGUUCAGACACGACAGGAGUCCUUCAUGAUCAGUCAGUCAGUGUGAAACGUGGCUAAUCGAUGCAUUGUUUCAUCUGAGUUUUUCUAUUGCCUUUGUCAUAUUACAGUACACGCCGACUACAGGUCUCCAGUUUCACAGCCAGACUCCCUGUGUCUGAGAUCUCAGGUUCUAAUAAAACGUUGACCAUUAAUUACAGUGGCCCGGUCGGGUCUGCAGCAGCCAAAGCGCCACCCUGGGAGCCGUGGUUCUCUUCCUUUGUGUUCUCUCUCUGCCAGCAGUUGAGUUUGUGUUGAGAUAAGACGAGUGAAGAGCCUGAAGCUUCACUGUCAACAUCAGUCAGAGGAUUAAGAGCAAAGACAAAUUCCCCCGAGUCAUUAAUGGAGAGGCGACAAGGAGGAUGCUGUGACCUGACCUCCCCUACAUCAUUACCCACAGUCCUGGAGUCACGUCUCCUUUACAUCCUGAGCGACAGGCUGGAAUCAGGUGCUUCUGUCAAAGGAUUUGAAUUCUUUUGCUAUUAGGACAAUGCCAGUCACCACUGUUACCUAAUUUAAUCACUUUUGUCAAUAUGACUGAUUUGUAAUGAGGGUUUAAUAAUGCUGAGUGGAGCUAAAAAAACAGAUUGCUCCAUUAGUCCAUUGUGUUAUUUACUGACAACUUCAAACCUAUAAGUUACACGGUUACAUUUGGAGACUGUUUGAAAGAAACCAUCCAUUAACUCUGCUUCACCCCAUAAAUCCCUGCAGAUGUUUCUGCCUCCUCAUCAGGUGACAUCAGUUCUGGUCAGAACGCAGGUCGGGCCGACUGCUCUUCUCAGACACUUUUUGCUUUUGCACAAUGACAGCAGUUGUAACAUGACUGAAUGAGUCAGAGUCUGAAUUUAUUUACAGUAACAGCCUGAACCCAGAACCAGCGUGGUUGUGUCACGUUUGGCAGCAGUAGCAAGGCGAGGACCCAAACGCACAGCACACACAGGCUCAGGUUUGUGGAGAUUUAAUGAAACUCGUUGGUCUGACAGGCUCAGGUCGGUACACAGGUUUAGCAUGAAAGACAGCAGCAGUACAAAACAGGGAUCAGGCAAAGGCAGUCAGUGUCCACACGUGGUUCAAGUCAAGGUGAAAACGAGACCCGGGACUGGACUUACUAGAACGUGGACGCUGGAGCAUUGAUACAGGUAAUGUGAUCGAAGAAUCUGGCAAAUGCUAGCGGUGAGACAUGGUUCGUAAGUACACAUACAGAUUACAAAGUGGGUGCAGCUAAUAAGACAGGUAACAGCAGAUAAAGCUAGACAGAAUACCAGGAACUAAACAGGAAACAGUCAAAAUAAAACAGGAAACAAUACAGAAACA